GAGGGUAUAGCUCAGUGGUAGAGUGCGCACUUAGCAUGCAGGAGGUCCUGGGUUCAGUUCCUAGUACCUCUA
RNAcentral lists this transfer RNA (72 nucleotides) under Camelus bactrianus (Bactrian camel). It matches the Rfam family "tRNA". Rfam says of the family: Transfer RNA (tRNA) molecules are approximately 80 nucleotides in length. Their secondary structure includes four short double-helical elements and three loops (D, anti-codon, and T loops). Further hydrogen bonds mediate the characteristic L-shaped molecular structure. tRNAs have two regions of fundamental functional importance: the anti-codon, which is responsible for specific mRNA codon recognition, and the 3' end, to which the tRNAs corresponding amino acid is attached (by aminoacyl-tRNA synthetases). tRNAs cope with the degeneracy of the genetic code in two manners: having more than one tRNA (with a specific anti-codon) for a particular amino acid; and 'wobble' base-pairing, i.e. permitting non-standard base-pairing at the 3rd anti-codon position. The record is from Rfam by way of RNAcentral. Lineage: Eukaryota; Metazoa; Chordata; Mammalia; Artiodactyla; Camelidae. RNAcentral also lists the same sequence under 2 other names.